RNAcentral lists this ribosomal RNA (253 nucleotides) under uncultured bacterium. RNAcentral's name for it is "partial 16S ribosomal RNA". It matches the Rfam family "Bacterial small subunit ribosomal RNA", at positions 524 to 776 of the family's 1533-position model. The record is from RNAcentral.
UACAGAGGGGGCAAGCGUUGUUCGGAAUUACUGGGCGUAAAGGGCGCGUAGGCGGCCUUCUAAGUCGAACGUGAAAUCCCUGGGCUCAACCCAGGAACUGCGUCCGAUACUGGAAGGCUUGAAUCCGGGAGAGGGAUGCGGAAUUCCAGGUGUAGCGGUGAAAUGCGUAGAUAUCUGGAGGAACACCGGUGGCGAAGGCGGCAUCCUGGACCGGCAUUGACGCUGAGGCGCGAAAACCAGGGGAGCAAACGGG